UAAGCGCGCGUAGGUGGUUAAUUAAGUCAAAUGUGAAAUCCCCGAGCUUAACUUGGGAAUUGCAUUCGAUACUGGUUAGCUAGAGUAUGGGAGAGGAUGGUAGAAUUCCAGGUGUAGCGGUGAAAUGCGUAGAGAUCUGGAGGAAUACCGAUGGCGAAGGCAGCCAUCUGGCCUAAUACUGACACUGAGGUGCGAAAGCAUGGGGAGCAAACAGGAUUAGAUACCCUGGUAGUCCAUGCCGUAAACGAUGUCUACUAGCCGUUGGGGGAUUUGAUCCUUUAGUGGCGCAGCUAACGCGAUAAGUAGACCGCCUGGGGAGUACGGUCGCAAGACUAAAACUCAAAUGAAUUGACGGGGGCCCGCACAAGCGGUGGAGCAUGUGGUUUAAUUCGAUGCAACGCGAAGAACCUUACCUGGCCUUGACAUAGUAGAGACUUUCCAGAGAUGGAUUGGUGCCUUCGGGAAUCUACAUACAGGUGCUGCAUGGCUGUCGUCAGCUCGUGUCGUGAGAUGUUGGGUUAAGUCCCGCAACGAGCGCAACCCUUUUCCUUACUUGCCAGCAUUUCGGAUGGGAACUUUAAGGAUACUGCCAGUGACAAACUGGAGGAAGGCGGGGACGACGUCAAGUCAUCAUGGCCCUUACGGCCAGGGCUACACACGUGCUACAAUGGUCGGUACAAAGGGUUGCUACACAGCGAUGUGAUGCUAAUCUCAAAAAGCCGAUCGUAGUCCGGAUCGCAGUCUGCAACUCGACUGCGUGAAGUCGGAAUCGCUAGUAAUCGCGGAUCAGAAUGCCGCGGUGAAUACGUUCCCGGGCCUUGUACACACCGCCCGUCACACCAUGGGAGUUUGUUGCACCAGAAGUAGGUAGUCUAACCGCAAGGAGGACGCUUACCACGGUGUGGCCGAU
Molecule: ribosomal RNA, 910 nt
Filed under: Acinetobacter sp. NF265
Lineage: Bacteria; Pseudomonadati; Pseudomonadota; Gammaproteobacteria; Moraxellales; Moraxellaceae
Description: bacterial SSU rRNA
Rfam family: Bacterial small subunit ribosomal RNA
Source: RNAcentral